GAGCGCACAGGCGCGAUGCGUCAGGGGCGGGAGCCCGUGAAAACUCGCAUGCGCCAAAGCCGGGAAUAAGCGGCGAACAUCGUGCCGAACCUAAAGCAGGCUGCUCACCUGGUCUUGGGGAGAAAGGAUGAAGGUGCAGUGAUCCUAAGGCAAUUCUCACGGGAUAAUGAAUUUGUGAUAACAGCUAAGAGAUGAAUUGAUUUCUGAGCAUCUGGACCUGUGGAUGGAGUUAAUGGAAGGAAAUGUCAAGAGAAGCUCACCUCUUUGACAUCAGGAUUAUGAAUAUCGUGUGACUGGAUGUAGACAGCAAAACCAACAAAGGCAACAGCCAAUGAAAGGAGGCAGAAGAAGAAGGAGACCAGAGGUGGAUGUCGUUCCAGGCAGAUACGCAGGGAGGCCAGUAGGGAGCAGAUGACCAUGAGCAACAAUCUGAGCUACAUUGCUGUAUCUUGAUGAAGUAUACUCUCCCGCCACCACUUCUGGACUCUAUUUCAGCCUGAAAAUUUGAAGAUUGUUCCCCUUCCCAUCAAUUCUUUUAGUCCAAAUAAAAUGUUACUAGUCUUUUAAAGAUUA
Molecule: long non-coding RNA, 573 nt
Organism: Pantherophis guttatus
Lineage: Eukaryota; Metazoa; Chordata; Lepidosauria; Squamata; Colubridae
Source: RefSeq, a predicted model, not a curated record